This is a long non-coding RNA of Bubalus bubalis (water buffalo), 1924 nucleotides long. RefSeq lists it as uncharacterized. The transcript is spliced from 3 exons. NCBI's taxonomy places the organism in Eukaryota, Metazoa, Chordata, Mammalia, Artiodactyla, Bovidae. The record is from RefSeq and is a predicted model, not a curated record.
UCCCAGGGACAGGGGAGCCUGGUGGGCUGCCGUCCAUGGGGUCGCACAGAGUCGGACACGACUAAAGCGACUUAGCAGCAGCAGCAGCAGCGAGAUGAUAAUCUUUAACAGCAUAAUCCUUAAAGUGUAUUCUCCCCUAUGUCCCCCCCACCACUUUCAGAGUAUACAUUUCCCCAGGUUAGAGGUGCUAAUUAGUGUGCUGUUCUUAAGGCACCAUUCUCAUUUUCCAUCAUCUACCAUCCACCAUUUGGAGAUUCCAAUUUGACGUGUCUAAAAUUGGAAUGAGGUCUGGAUGUUAGGAUUAUGUUUUUAAAGGUACUCAUUUCCUUCUAAGGUGCACCCAUGGCUGAGGGCCACUGACAAAGCAUAAAGGAAUAUGUUUCUGUAGAAAAGCUGCUGCUUCACUAAUGCUGCUUUAUGAGAUGCCCGUCUAAUUAGAAGUCAUGCGUGUAGCUUUCGUCUUUGUCUUUUCUUGCAACCCUCAAGAGUAGUUAUGAUCUCCAGACAUAAACGAAUGCAUUUUCUUUUUCCUGUCCACCCCUCCCAUAUACUACUUCUAGAGGGAAGUUUGCAGAAGGGUCCCCCUGGAGCACUUUAGUGUCAGUUACAUAGAUCAUUGGAGGAGUCAAUUCAAAGUUCCUCAGAAUAAGAUUAGGGAAGCAGGCCUGGGUCCAGCCUAGCUGGUCCCUUGGCUUUCCUGCGGACACUGUGGUGGGGCGUGGGGCCCCAGCUUCUCUCUCGUACUCUUUAAAUCCAUCCUCCGAGGUGACUCAGCUUUUGAACCCCCAAGCAGACACUCCCCUCUACCUGUCCCACUUUCCCAUACAUCCCAGGAUUCUAUUUUACUGGGCCCCUAAAUCAUCACGGUGCUUUAUAAAGUCCAAUAUUGCAGCAAACUGUAACUAAUCACUCACUCUAGUAAGCAUAUCAAUCAAACAUAGGUAUAUCACAAAAGAUUGAAAGCAAGAACGUGAAAAAUCAUGGUACGAGCAUGAUUUCUGAUGAUAGAAUGCACUGGUUUACCUGUAUUGUAUACAUAAAGAGCAUGCAUCUUUGUGUCCACAGGGGAUUUUCAUCCUUAACGAAGCGUGAAUCAUGCCAGCCAGGCAAAACCACGGCCUGAUCCUUGGAGCUGCGACUGAGAAGAAUAGUUCCAGGCUUUUCUUACUGUAACCCAGAGUUUCUCAACCUUGACGCUUCUGACUUUCUGGUGGUUGCCCUGCCCCGCAAAAUUGGUUUGGAGCUUGGAGCUGAUGCUGCCACACACUCUGGGAAGACGUGACAAGAUUGAUGACCCACAUCAUGGGAUUGCCUGGAGAGAACAGAGCAGAUUAUCUCUUCUCAUGGUUGCAAGAAUGCUGCUAUGGCUCCAAGCAUCACAUCCCCAGCAAAAAUAUACCAAAAGGAAGGAAAAGGAAGGGCAAGAGGGCUCUGUUCUUGGGAUGAAUUAGACCCCAAAAGUCUUGUCCAAGUUGAAGAAAAAGCGUAAAGAACUCCUUGGACUUAGAUCAAAUUUGCUUUUAAUUCUUUUUACUCCAGAAACAGCUAUUGAGAAUAAACUAUGCAAAAAAUAUUGUUAUGGGUCUAGAAUAUUAAUGGGUAGAGACAGUUUCCCAUUACCUCCUUUACCCCUCCCAGAGAAAGUCUUGAAGUUCAGUGGUUGUGGAAGGUCACACAGAGGGACACAUCUACCAGGGGAUUGAAAAAUGGUAUAUUGGGUCUGCCACGUUUUAUAAUUUCACCCGCCUGAAGUCACAGACAGCUUGAAAUGCCAGGAAGCCAGGAAGCCUGCUACUCAGUCCACUGUGGCACUCAGAUCUAAUGACUGUGUUUGGAGACUUAAAAAUCUUUUAGGACCUGCAUGGGGACAACAUGUCUCUCUCUAUAGAGGUUGUUGUUGUUCAGUCAUGAAGUCAUGUCCAAC